RNAcentral lists this small RNA (79 nucleotides) under bovine gut metagenome. RNAcentral describes it as "GA-cis RNA". It matches the Rfam family "GA-cis RNA". RNAcentral also lists the same sequence under 1 other name. The record is from RNAcentral.
UAGGAGGAACCAUUAUGCGAAGCAUAAUUCAGGAUGGUUCCGACGAUUGGCCGCCGACGAAGGAGGGGGCGUUACAUAU